Long non-coding RNA from Ostrea edulis (European flat oyster), 2691 nucleotides. RefSeq lists it as uncharacterized. NCBI's taxonomy places the organism in Eukaryota, Metazoa, Mollusca, Bivalvia, Ostreida, Ostreidae. The transcript is spliced from 2 exons. The record is from RefSeq and is a predicted model, not a curated record.
UUGAAAAAGAAAUUUUCUCUCCCAAUACGCAAUAAGGUUAUUUUACUUAUAGCCCGAAUGGCACACCAUAUUUUUCAAUCUCCUUCAUUCGGCCAUUUUCACACACCGCGCCGUUAGCCUGUUUGCGCUGUUCGUGGAAGUUGCAGAGGAUGUACUCAUCGCAUUUCAACGAUGAUAUAAUAUGUACAGCAAAAAUUGAUGGCAAGGGUGACAUGAAUCAGAUUGACAAGAAUUCAUAUAAUGCUAUCAUCACUGCCAUCAGAUUCAUACAUAGCUUCCUUGUUGUGCCUGCCAAUAGCAAGGUACCAGAUUAUACAGCAGUUAUGUGGAAACAGAUUCCCACAAUAGGGGGACCAGAUUGACACCUACAUUGUACAGUAUCAGGCAGUUAUAUCAGAACUGGAAAAACUGGAUCCAAACAAGACUAUAUUGCUUGGAAGAAACAUGUCGACUCUGAAGUUUACCCUUAAUUUCACAUUACCAUUACUCCUAUUUUGAAAUAUAAUGUAUUACAUUACUUGAGAGUGAAUUUACAUUACACAUUUACAUAACAUACUGUCAGAUAUUAAAGAAAUGGCAGAAAAAUUAUUUCUGUAUUCUGAUUUUUAAUUAUACAUUAACAUAAGUACACAAAAUAUUCAGCAAUGUUAGGAAACAUAUCUAUUAAGUUAUUCAUUGCAUUUGAUUGUCAUCAAUGUUUCAAAUGCUUCAGUCAAUCUCACUAAUAAAAUGAAUUAUUCUAAAUCUUCAAAAUAUCAUCAAAUAUUUGAAGUAGUGUAAAUGUAAUGAAAAAUAAUGUACAGUACAGUAUGCAUUACAUUACCAUUACUUGUAAUGCAAAAAUGGUCUAUUACACCCGCAUUACAUUGAAACUGGCUGUCAUUUAAUUACCAUUACCACAGGCCUGGUUCUGUCGAGAGGUAUUGAAAUUGUCUGUAGAGACUUUGUCUCAGGAAGUGGCCGAGAUUGGUGGUGACAAUUUUGUUGGAUGUGAAUUUACUGACACACAUGUCUACACUUGCUACACAAUAUAUCAUGUGGUGGUUUCAACAAGAAAGUUCUUACUCUGCAGGAAAUGAUGAACAGCUAAUGGAUUCACAUUUUUUCUGACUUUUCUUCUGUACAUUAGAUGCAUUGGAAAAACUUUCCUUUCCAUUAUCUUUUGCUGGUUCAUACUUUGAAAUAAAAUCAAGUCCGAAAAUAAAGUAUUUUGGUUGGGUUUUUUUCAAUGAAUUUUAAAAAAUGUAAUAUGUAAUCCUUGCAUAUUUUCUUGGUGUUCUGUGAUUGCAUAGGCCUAUUGAUUUUUAUUUGUAUUCAGGUAUAAUUUCAUCUUCAGUGUCUUGAAAGAAAUUAAUUUUUCAAUAAUGCCAAGAAAAAUGUAGUUAACAGUAUGAUUUAAAAAAAAAAUAUAUAUUGACACGGGUAGGAAUUGAACCCGGAUCUCCUGCUUGAAGGACGGGCUCUCUACCACUAAGCCACGGCGUACAUGACGUCACUCGCUCAAAAAUCCUCUAUGCAUUUACUUGCCCUAGUUAACGUUAUACUUUCGAAAUAUCGGUAAUAGUUUUAGUUAUAUCAAUGCAUGUUCUAUAAAUUCUUUUCAUUUUGAUCUUAGUAAUUCUGUUGGUGUCGUCUAAAUAAAAACUUUCUAUAGCAUUGAAGGUCCGAUUUGUCGGACAGCAGAUUCGUUUGUUUACGCAUCAAAAUUCUAUAGCUUUUAGAAUUCCUGCACAAACUUGUGAUAAAAACACCAUAUAGGGGUGUAUUCUGCAUGGAAAUGAUGUAGACUCCACAUAAGUAUAUUGUUUUAAUUUUUCAAAGCAACAUAAUUGAUAAAAUACCCACAACUCUCACAAAAAUAAAUAAUUCCGGAUUGCUCUCGAUUUAAUUCAAAGUUGAUAUUCAUCAACAGCACACCUUUCGAUCCAAAAAAUCGUUCGUGCAAAAUUUAUUUGUAUUGAUAGAUUUUGAUAGACUACAGUCAGUUUCUGGAUCGAAGGUCGUGUUUUAUAUGAAUUAUAUGACUAAAUUUGAAAAAAGUGGAGAUUUCUGCAGAAAACCAGACCGAUACCGGUUUUGUCUUGUAUAGAAUUCCACAAGCUGACGUUUUGGCGGGGAAAUCUUGGCACGUCGCGAUGGUAUAAAGAUUAUAUUAUCAAAUGAUAGCAAUUUUAUUUCAAUUCAUUCUGCUUUAUUUUUUAACACACCACAGGGCCGAUAUAGCUAAACAUGGUCUUAGUCCUUUUGAAUUUUAUUUAGAUGAACUUCCUAAAAAUAAAAGAGAAAUACUCUGUAGAUUUAGAGCAUCAAAUUUUAGAUUACCUGUAGAGACAGGACGAUGGUUAAACAUUCCAAGAAAUGAAAGAGUAUGCACUUUAUGUAAUAAUAAUGAUUUGGCUGAUGAGUUCCAUUAUUUAUUAAUAUGUACUGAUGAAACUAUUAAGAAAUGAAGAUUGGAAAACUUAGAUAGAUAUUAUACAAAUAGACCAGACAGAUAUAAAUUUAAACAGCUUCUUAAUUGUAAAAAUAUUAUUGUACUUAAAAGAUUAUGCAAAUUUUUAAUGGUUAUAAGGGAGAGGGCAUGUCCUCCAUGUUAACUGCGUGCUAUGUACAAUAUUGUAUUAUAUAUUACGAAUUACUUCUCCACAAUACACAUGUUGUAUGUAUUUGAGAAUAAAUAAUUUUGUUGUU